Molecule: transfer RNA, 72 nt
Filed under: Phrynosoma platyrhinos (Desert horned lizard)
Lineage: Eukaryota; Metazoa; Chordata; Lepidosauria; Squamata; Phrynosomatidae
Description: tRNA-OTHER
Source: RNAcentral
UCCAGCAUGGCAUAGUGGUUUAAGCAUUAGACUACAACUCUGGAGACUAGGGUUCAAACCCUUGUUCAGCCA